RNAcentral lists this ribosomal RNA (461 nucleotides) under uncultured Methyloversatilis sp. Its description in RNAcentral is "bacterial SSU rRNA". It matches the Rfam family "Bacterial small subunit ribosomal RNA", at positions 921 to 1377 of the family's 1533-position model. Lineage: Bacteria; Pseudomonadati; Pseudomonadota; Betaproteobacteria; Nitrosomonadales; Sterolibacteriaceae. The record is from RNAcentral.
ACCCGCACAAGCGGUGGAUGAUGUGGAUUAAUUCGAUGCAACGACGAAAAACCUUACCUACCCUUGACAUGUACGGAACCCUGCUGAGAGGUGGGGGUGCUCGAAAGAGAGCCGUAACACAGGUGCUGCAUGGCUGUCGUCAGCUCGUGUCGUGAGAUGUUGGGUUAAGUCCCGCAACGAGCGCAACCCUUGUCAUUAGUUGCUACGCAAGAGCACUCUAAUGAGACUGCCGGUGACAAACCGGAGGAAGGUGGGGAUGACGUCAAGUCCUCAUGGCCCUUAUGGGUAGGGCUUCACACGUCAUACAAUGGUCGGUACAGAGGGUUGCCAAGCCGCGAGGUGGAGCCAAUCCCAGAAAGCCGAUCGUAGUCCGGAUCGCAGUCUGCAACUCGACUGCGUGAAGUCGGAAUCGCUAGUAAUCGCGGAUCAGCCAUGGCGCGGUGAAUACGUUCCCGGACCUU